Acanthosepion pharaonis is the source of this 111-nucleotide non-coding RNA. Lineage: Eukaryota; Metazoa; Mollusca; Cephalopoda; Sepiida; Sepiidae. The record is from the annotation of a GenBank genome assembly.
UUACGGCCAUAUCACGUUGAUACACCGGUUCUCGUACGAUUAAUGAAGCUAAGCAAAGUCGAGUCUGAUCAGUACCUAAAUGAGUGACCGCUUGGUAAUACCUAGUGCUAU